CACACUCUAUCUCUCUCUCUCUCAGGCACUUACUAGUUCACACACGCUCUCCCCUUUCCCCUCUUCGAUCCAUUUCCAUUCCCUUCUUUGCCAUUGAAGAGGCAUUCAGAUGAUUCUCUUCCAUCCUGACCCACCUUUCCUCCGAGCAUGACAAACCAGGUGCCCCCAUCACAGCCGUUUCUCGCUUCUAGAGAGAUGUUUUAACUGGGACUUCAUUUGCUGCGAAUCUAUAAAUCAUGGUCAUUUGUAUAGGAGUACUCAUAGUCAAGGAUAUAUGAGGCUACAAGACACUCUAUAUUUUGUAUAACUAUGCAAAAAAAGAAAAAAAUAUAUAUUGUAAUAGAUGUAGAUAAAAUGCUGUGAUAUCUUUUACUUUGUGCAAUUAAGCAAAAUACAUUGUA
This is a long non-coding RNA of Dioscorea cayenensis subsp. rotundata (Guinea yam), 401 nucleotides long. RefSeq lists it as uncharacterized. The record is from RefSeq and is a predicted model, not a curated record. The transcript has 3 exons. Lineage: Eukaryota; Viridiplantae; Streptophyta; Magnoliopsida; Dioscoreales; Dioscoreaceae.